UGGUAAAAAUCUGAUCCCCUGACCUGAAUUGCUUUAGAUGAUUUUUUGUAUUUGAACCACUCUAACAAAUACAUUUUUGAAUUUACUGAAAUAUCACAUAUCUGAAGUGAAAUGUUUUUCACCUACAAGUGUAAAAAAACUAAAAUAGAAAAGUUAAAUGUUGACAUUAACCAUGAAAUUAUACAUAUUUAAAAACUUAAAUGGAUCCUUAGUAAUUGUAAUUUAUUGUUUUAAAAGCACCCUUGAUGUUCUCACUCUGACCUUUGGAAAGUUUCUGGUGCUUCUCUCUGUUUUCUUUCAUCAGCAGAGAGCGGUGCCAGUCCCACGUUCUUUGGCCAGGCACGCUCGGCGACAGAAAUAUCUCCCAGACCCCGCCGUGCACAGAUGGGCUCUCAGCUUGGCUUGUCACGACUCGCCGUCUAUUGCAGGAGGUUUUAUGAUGGACGGUCGGUUUCUGAAGGAGAGCGUCUUCCGUGGAGUACGUGGCCGGAGACACGGAGGAUGCCCUGGCUGUCACCUGGCUGGUUGCCGGGGAAAACCGUAGAGUCUGGAAUGAGGCUGAUGCUGCAGCAGGAAGUGUUGUGGGUUCGCCUUUCUGAGGCAUAUCAACACUUCCAUUUCUUUCAAACUUAAAUUGCCUCAACGACUUCUACCAUUUGCGUGGUCCGAAAAUAUUCCAGAGUUUUCCACGCUGCAGAUCCGAAAACGACCACAGAACAACUGAAGCGGGCCGUGUGCAUUUUUGAGAGCACUCUUCUCUGGUAUUCAUGGAGUCCCACGGUUACAGUGACGUGCGCAUCAAGUGCCGUCGCACUGGCAGGCGUCGGACGCAUGCAGAGGAUCCACACGGUUUGUGACGUCACACCGCCGAUUCUGCAUCGACGGGAUUAUGAGUGUUCGCCUUUAAUGAGACAUUACAAGGAGGAAAAAGGUAAUGAACAAAAAAACGCAUCAUUUUAGGAAUACUAUUAAUCCUAUAGAGUUUUUAAAUGUAAGGAUCCUUCAGUCAUCUAACUCAGAAAAAAUAAAAGCUCAGGUAAGUAGGCUUUGAACCCCCCCAACCCAACCCCAUGCAGGCUGGAAAACAUCAAGCUGUGUGCUGAACAAGAUCCCACACUCUAACAUUUCCAUGUGCAGCCUUCACAAAGUCUAAAAACCAAAAAAAAACAGCAAGCUGGGAUGUUGGCUUGCUCCAACCGAAUAAACAACAGAAACCUGGAAUAAAUGUCCACGAUGCAUAAACCCAGAGACAUAUAGAAAUACAGAUAACUGCAGAUGUGAAACGAUCAGCCAUCAAGUAUCAGGGAAGAGGAGUCUCAGCUUGACAACGUGAUAUAAUGAGCUUUUAUGUUGUGGGUAAUGAGACGAGGGGAAAGAACGACGUACAGAAGAGAGGAAGGAAAGAUGGGGGGGGUGAGAAAUCAAACACAAAUACACAACCACACACGGCGCUCCACCGUUUCACGAGCACCUUCCAACUGUGACAAAAGUCUUGGCUGUUGGAAAGGUUAGGAUUUCAAUUUUAGCUGCACUGGGUCCCCGCAGUGGAGACGGCGAUACGGCAAAGAUGAAAAGGUGAGGCCGGCACAUUUAGAAAGGGUCAGGGGCCAAGGGCAUUAUUUAUUUGUCAUGUAUUAGUUUGGAAGAUUGUGUGCCGUUUGUGUGAGUGUGUGCUCCAGGUGAGAGAGUCAGCGAGAGGAAGGGGCGGGGUGCUAAAGGUCUCUGUUGAUGAUUUACACGCUCCAUCGAGCAGACCGCCGGGGCGUGAAAAGUGACAUGGCCUGUUCCUCCAGCCUGCCUGACCCCAAUCUCCGCUCUACAGCGGGUCCCCGUGCCGCCUGCCCACUCCGCAAAGCUCCUCCCCCGUGGUCCUCCACCUUAUCACAUCAAGAAAAACAUCCACACACCUGGACACGAACACGUCCUCCCACCAGACCAGAGUCAUCUGGUUUGACCUUCAAAAAGGAGCAGAUUGAAGUCUAUCGGAAAGAUCAGGAGCUUCACUCAGGAGCUUCUCAGACCUGAGAAGGUCAUUGGAAGGAAAACUUCUUCCAUCUGCCUCCAUUAAGGAGCCCGUGACCUUCGGCUUCAGCGCUAAAUCCCUAUUUGUGUUCCUGCUCCGUGUGUGCAUGAGUCUGCCUGACAGGAGGCUUGUUUGCUCCAUGUUUUUAUUGCAAUAAAAAGCUUCGGCACACGCAGCUACAUAUGUCAGCACCAGCUCCUCUCUGUUCUCUCCUUUGUAAUUGAAAUCAAUAGACGCAGAUAUCACACCCUGUUCUGUCACUACACAUCUGCUGCAACAACGGCCAACAAAAGAGCAACUUGCCUUCCUGGUGAAUACACAUGACCUGCGUUCACACACACACAUGCGGACACACUCUCAGGCUUCACAGGCACCCAAAUUGACACUCCAGAGGCUUGAUUACAGAUGGGGGUUGUUGAAGAAAGGACGCACAUGUUUGCGUAGAGAAAAAUGGUUUGAGCACGCGAU
This is a non-coding RNA of Oryzias latipes (Japanese medaka), 2491 nucleotides long. Lineage: Eukaryota; Metazoa; Chordata; Actinopteri; Beloniformes; Adrianichthyidae. The record is from RefSeq and is a predicted model, not a curated record.